RNAcentral lists this unclassified non-coding RNA (253 nucleotides) under uncultured Gammaproteobacteria bacterium. RNAcentral's name for it is "contains 16S-23S intergenic spacer region". It matches the Rfam family "Bacterial small subunit ribosomal RNA", at positions 524 to 776 of the family's 1533-position model. Lineage: Bacteria; Pseudomonadati; Pseudomonadota; Gammaproteobacteria. The record is from RNAcentral.
UACGGAGGGUGCAAGCGUUAAUCGGAAUCACUGGGCGUAAAGCGCGCGUAGGCGGUUUGUCAAGUCAGAUGUGAAAGCCCAGGGCUCAACCCUGGAACUGCAUUUGAUACUGGCAGACUAGAAUUUGGUAGAGGGAAGUGGAAUUCCGAGUGUAGCGGUGAAAUGCGUAGAUAUUCGGAGGAACAUCAAUGGCGAAGGCAACUUCCUGGGCCAAAAUUGACGCUGAGGUGCGAAAGCGUGGGUAGCAAACAGG